RNAcentral lists this ribosomal RNA (528 nucleotides) under uncultured Geobacillus sp. Its description in RNAcentral is "bacterial SSU rRNA". It matches the Rfam family "Bacterial small subunit ribosomal RNA", at positions 1 to 507 of the family's 1533-position model. Lineage: Bacteria; Bacillati; Bacillota; Bacilli; Caryophanales; Anoxybacillaceae. The record is from RNAcentral.
GUACGAGUUUCGAUCCGUCGGACGUCAGGACGAACGCUGGCGGUGUGCCUAAUACAUGCAAGUCGAGCGGACCGAACGAGGGCUUGCUCUUGUUGGUCAGCGGCGGACGGGUGAGUAACACGUGGGCAACCUGCCCGCAAGACCGGGAUAACUCCGGGAAACCGGAGCUAAUACCGGAUAACACCGAAGACCGCAUGGUCUUCGGUUGAAAGGCGGCCUUUGGGCUGUCACUUGCGGAUGGGCCCGCGGCGCAUUAGCUAGUUGGUGAGGUAACGGCUCACCAAGGCGACGAUGCGUAGCCGGCCUGAGAGGGUGACCGGCCACACUGGGACUGAGACACGGCCCAGACUCCUACGGGAGGCAGCAGUAGGGAAUCUUCCGCAAUGGGCGAAAGCCUGACGGAGCGACGCCGCAUGAGCGAAGAAGGCCUUCGGGUCGUAAAGCUCUGUUGUGAGGGACGAAGGAGCGCCGUUCGAAGAGGGCGGCGCGGUGACGGUACCUCACGAGAAAGCCCCGGCUAACUACGUG